This 497-nucleotide ribosomal RNA is filed under the name uncultured bacterium. Its description in RNAcentral is "partial 16S ribosomal RNA". It matches the Rfam family "Bacterial small subunit ribosomal RNA", at positions 28 to 507 of the family's 1533-position model. The record is from RNAcentral.
GAUGAACGCUGGCGGCGUGCCUAAUACAUGCAAGUCGAGCGAACGGACGAGAAGCUUGCUUCUCUGAUGUUAGCGGCGGACGGGUGAGUAACACGUGGAUAACCUACCUAUAAGACUGGGAGAACUUCGGGAAACCGGAGCUAAUACCGGAUAAUAGUUUGAACCGCAUGGUUCAAAAGUGAAAGACGGUCUUGCUGUCACUUAUAGAUGGAUCCGCGCUGCAUUAGCUAGUGGGUAAGGUAACGGCUUACCAAGGCAACGAUGCAUAGCCGACCUGAGAGGGUGAUCGGCCACACUGGACCUGAGACGCGGUCCAGACUCCUCCGGGAGGCAGCAGUAGGGAAUCUUCCGCAGUGGGCGAAAGCCUGACGGAGCAACGCCGCGUGAGUGAUGAAGGUCUUCGGAUCGUAAAACUCUGUUAUUAGGGAAGAACAUAUGUGUAAGUAACUGUGAACCUCUUGACGGUACCUAAUCAGAAAGCCCCGGCUAACUACGUG